CAAGAACAUGUAAGCACUGCUCUUCACCACGGCCCUGCUUAGCAGACUUACCUCCGAAAGGCAGCUUAAAUCGCCAAGGAGAAUACAAGAAAUAUACUCCCAGCAGAAGCAGGCAAUUUAAUUUUAGUCUUUCGUUAGUGAAAACAGCAGCAUCUCAAACAAGGAACUUUUUGCAACUCAGCAGUGUGAUCUUGCACGAGUUCCUUUCCUUUUCCAAGCCUCAGUUCUACUACGUGAAAAUGGAGGUAAUCGUACCUAUGUUGAAGACAGUUUGUGGAGAUGAAAUGAGAAGUAUAAAAGAGCAUCUAGUGGAGUGUCAGACACAAGGGAGGCCUUAAUAAAAGAAUCCAAGCUCAACAUUCCAUAAAUGACUGGGGAGCCUACUGGAAGAAUUGCAUCUUACCAAUUCCAAGGACAGAGCGAUCUUUAAAAGAAUGCUAAAGAAAGAGAUUUAGAACAUUUCUCAACAUCUUAUGGGACUCAAGCGGAGAAAAAUACCAUUUUGGGGCACUUGCUAUUUGAAAUCUCAAGUUACUAGUCUAAAACUGAGAGAGAUGCACCAAUAACAAGUUUACAGCUUGAUGAAUUCUCACAAGUGAAUACAUUUACGUAACUAGGACCCUGAUGAAGAAGCAGACUAUCACCAGCAGCCAAGAAGCAGGACCCCCUCCAACGACUAUCGCACGUAAAGAACAACAGGGAAGCCAAGGCCACUAAAAGAAGUAGGACUGGAGGGGAGAGGAAGAAUACUACCUACCUCACUAGGCGAUUUUGAAGAUUAAACAAUGAAAGAGAAAGCACUGGAAAAACUAUAAGUACUUCAUGAAUACGACUUGGUAUGAAAACCAUGAAAGACUCAAAGACAAUACAUGGAUUAAAAAACGUAUUAUAUAUACUAAAUAUUUUAAGAUUAGGUAUGUAAUGUAAUAUAAAUUGUAGGUGCUUAUUGUAGUUACCUUCUAAAAUUUCCUAUUUUUGGUCAGCCAUUUCAUGUAAUGUAUAGAUAAAUGAUUUAAUGAUUUUACCAUACUUUUAUACUUUUUGUUAUACUUAUUGAGAGAGAUGCUCAUUAAGGCUAAACUUAUUUUUUUGCUGAAUAGCAUGGAAUUCUAUUUCUCACUUAUUUUCUGGGUGAUGGGUUACUUUCGGACACAUUAUAUAACUUGAUCCCUGUAAGAAUUUGUGAGAUAUUCAGGACAGAUGGCAUUGUCCCCAGUUUGGUGACAAGGAAAUCAAGGUUCACAGAGGAUGAGGUGCAAGUCACUUGCCCAGAAUUGAUGAAGUUCGUAAGAAGUAGGGUUGGAAUUUGUAUACAGACUUUCUAACUCCAAAUGCAGAAUUCUUUCUACUACAUUAUGCUCUUCUUGGUAACUUCUCCUUGGUAAAUAAAAAUUUUUGCACCUUCUGGGCUGCACAGUAAUCCAUUGGUCUGAAUGAAGCUGGACAGAUUGAC
Molecule: long non-coding RNA, 1453 nt
Filed under: Equus caballus (horse)
Lineage: Eukaryota; Metazoa; Chordata; Mammalia; Perissodactyla; Equidae
Description: lncRNA (ENSECAG00000060262.1)
Source: RNAcentral